This 62-nucleotide small nuclear RNA is filed under the name Microcebus murinus (gray mouse lemur). RNAcentral's name for it is "U7 small nuclear RNA (ENSMICG00000041601.1)". It matches the Rfam family "U7 small nuclear RNA". From Rfam's summary of the family: Animal histone pre-mRNAs are spliced by a different mechanism than nuclear pre-mRNAs and self-splicing introns. This processing involves the U7 snRNP, which contains only one RNA species: U7. Lineage: Eukaryota; Metazoa; Chordata; Mammalia; Primates; Cheirogaleidae. The record is from Rfam by way of RNAcentral.
AAAUGUUACAGUUCUUUUAUAAUUUGUCUAGCAAGUUUUAUGGUUUUCAUCAGGAACCCCCC